CAGUAGCCGCGGUAAUACGAGGGGUGCAAGCGUUAUUCGGAUUGAUUGGGUGUAAAGGGUGUGCAGACGGCUUAUUAAGUCACUUGUUAAAUUCUUCGGCCUAACUGAAGGUCUGCAAGUGAUACUGAUGAGCUAGAGGGUGGAAGAGAGAAGUGGAAUUCUCGGAGUAGCGGUAAAAUGCGUAGAUCUCGAGAGGAACACCAAUGGCGAAGGCAGCUUCUUGGUCCAUUCCUGACGUUCAUACACGAAAGCGUGGGGAGCAAACAGGAUUAGAUACCCCCGUAGUCCCUGUCUCUUAUAA
Molecule: ribosomal RNA, 301 nt
Filed under: uncultured bacterium
Lineage: Bacteria
Description: partial 16S ribosomal RNA
Rfam family: Bacterial small subunit ribosomal RNA
Source: RNAcentral